GUGGGUGUAGCUCAGCAGGUUAGAGCGACAGACUGUGGCUCUGUAGGUCGGGGGUUCGAAUCCCCUCAUCCACCCCA
RNAcentral lists this transfer RNA (77 nucleotides) under Candidatus Brocadiia bacterium. RNAcentral describes it as "Candidatus Brocadiae bacterium (aquatic metagenome) tRNA-His". It matches the Rfam family "tRNA". From Rfam's summary of the family: Transfer RNA (tRNA) molecules are approximately 80 nucleotides in length. Their secondary structure includes four short double-helical elements and three loops (D, anti-codon, and T loops). Further hydrogen bonds mediate the characteristic L-shaped molecular structure. tRNAs have two regions of fundamental functional importance: the anti-codon, which is responsible for specific mRNA codon recognition, and the 3' end, to which the tRNAs corresponding amino acid is attached (by aminoacyl-tRNA synthetases). tRNAs cope with the degeneracy of the genetic code in two manners: having more than one tRNA (with a specific anti-codon) for a particular amino acid; and 'wobble' base-pairing, i.e. permitting non-standard base-pairing at the 3rd anti-codon position. The record is from RNAcentral. Lineage: Bacteria; Pseudomonadati; Planctomycetota; Candidatus Brocadiia.